GUCCGCUUCCCCGCGGCCGGCCCCGCCGUCCGGGCCCCCGCUGCCGGGGGCCACCGGAACCGCGCGCCGGGGCGGUGGGGAGCGGACGCCGGGCUCCGAACAAAGGCGACGGUGGGGACGGAGGGGGGCGCGGAGCCCCGGCCCCAGGGGCGGCGGUGCGACGGAUACUCACAGGAAUAUGUUUACUCAUUGAAGAUUGUGGCCUAAUCAUACAGCCGGUCCCGAGGCGGCGGCGACACAGGCGGCGGCGGCGGCGGCUGCAGGGCAGGGGGUAGCGGUGGUCGUCGCGGGGCGGCGGCGGCUUCGCAGGCGGCGGCGGGGGCACCAGACUCGACCAUGCAGUGAGCGGCUCCGAGGAGAGCGCGUAGCCCGGCCGGCCCGCAGCACAGGGAGCCAAUACGCGCGGCGAGGCGCCCUUGCGUCACGAGCCCUCCCUUUUAUAGCCGGCGCGACGUGCGAACUCCCGGCCACCAAUCAGGGCCGGGGGCCCCGGGCCGAGCGCCGACGAGCGGGGGCGGAGGCCCGUCCCCCGCGGACGUCACCGCGCGGCGGCCGCUGCCGGUGUGAACCGGUUGAUGAAUGGCGAAGUGCUGGAGUCGUAGCAUCUCCCGGGCGGGGCGGGGCGGGGCGGAGCGGGGGGAGGGCCNNNNNNNNNNNNNNNNNNNNNNGGGAGCCUCCAGGGGAUCGGCCGGAAACCCCGGUUGUCAUAGUUAAAGCCGCCGAGGGGCGCGCGCAGGUCACGUGCGGAGCUUUGAAGUUGCCUCCACUUAGAACGCGAUCCCUGAGGGCUGGAAGUGUGUCUCAGCUGCGACCCUACUUUAUUCUGCCCGAAGUCAAACCACAGUCCUCUGUGCCAGCGGUUUACCUUGGCACCUGCGCCACUGCCAUCUCCGUCAUCAAAUCGUAUUUAUGUCGCACGACCGACCGCUGGACCCGGUGACUCAACCCCGUGGAUGCCACGGCCCUAGGCUUGCGCUAGGUGAACCCUCGUCCCCGGGGGCACUUCCCAAACUUUUGCUGGGGGAGCCCGGGAGAGUCCCCGGUGAGGCGGAUGCAACCCCACGCUCCCCGGAGUCUUUUUUCGGUCACGCCUCCAUACUACAUACGCGGGCAACUGCAGUUGGCUCAGUCGUGGCGUUUCGAAAUCACAUGCAUCCUUUGUACUGCUGCUCACUUGAUGUGUUGUCACAGAUAAUGAAAGUUCUGUGGCUCCACUGUGUUCAUGAUUUAGGCCCUUACGAAGUAAAGCCUCAUCGUAAUUGUUUUGUGCUACACAAGGGCAAUUUUGUCACUUAUAAUCCGGAAACCCCCUUUCUCCUCUACUUGAUGGAAGGGACCAAAUAG
Vulpes vulpes (red fox) is the source of this 1344-nucleotide long non-coding RNA. The record is from Ensembl. NCBI's taxonomy places the organism in Eukaryota, Metazoa, Chordata, Mammalia, Carnivora, Canidae.